RNAcentral lists this ribosomal RNA (254 nucleotides) under uncultured bacterium. Its description in RNAcentral is "partial 16S ribosomal RNA". It matches the Rfam family "Bacterial small subunit ribosomal RNA", at positions 524 to 776 of the family's 1533-position model. The record is from RNAcentral.
UACGGGGGGAGCAAGCGUUGUUCGGAUUUACUGGGCGUAAAGGGCGCGUAGGCGGUCAGCACAAGUCAGUUGUGAAAUCUCCGGGCCUAACUCGGAAAGGUCAACUGAUACUGUGCGACUAGAGUGCGGAGGGGGCAACUGGAAUUCUCGGUGUAGCGGUGAAAUGCGUAGAUAUCGAGAGGAACACCUGCGGCGAAGGCGGGUUGCUGGGCCGACACUGACGCUGAUGCGCGAAAGCCAGGGGAGCGAACGGG